UACGUAGGGGGCAAGCGUUGUCCGGAAUCAUUGGGCGUAAAGAGCGUGUAGGCGGUCCGAUAAGUCCGCUCUGAAAGCCCGGGGCUCAACCCCGGGAGGCGGGCGGAUACUGUCGGGCUAGAGUCCGGAAGAGGCAAGUGGAAUUCCUGGUGUAGCGGUGAAAUGCGCAGAUAUCGGGAAGAACACCCGUGGCGAAGGCGGCUUUCUGGGACGGUACUGACGCUGAGACGCGAAAGCGUGGGGAGCGAACAGG
RNAcentral lists this ribosomal RNA (253 nucleotides) under uncultured bacterium. RNAcentral describes it as "partial 16S ribosomal RNA". It matches the Rfam family "Bacterial small subunit ribosomal RNA", at positions 524 to 776 of the family's 1533-position model. The record is from RNAcentral.